Molecule: ribosomal RNA, 303 nt
Filed under: uncultured bacterium
Lineage: Bacteria
Description: partial 16S ribosomal RNA
Rfam family: Bacterial small subunit ribosomal RNA
Source: RNAcentral
AGCAGUCGCCGCGGUAAGACAGAGGAUGCAAGCGUUAUCCGGAAUGAUUGGGCGUAAAGCGUCUGUAGGUGGCUUUUCAAGUCCGCUGUCAAAUCCCAGGGCUCAACCCUGGACAGGCGGUGGAAACUACCAAGCUGGAGUACGGUAGAGGCAGAGAGAAUUUCCGGUGGAGCGGUGAAAUGCGUUGAGAUCGGAAGGAACAUCUGUGGCGAAGGCGACUAUCUGGGCCAACACUGACACUGAGGCACGAAAGCGUGGGGAGCAAACAGGAUUAGAUACCCCUGUAGUCCCUGUCUCUUAUAA